RNAcentral lists this ribosomal RNA (460 nucleotides) under uncultured bacterium. RNAcentral describes it as "partial 16S ribosomal RNA". It matches the Rfam family "Bacterial small subunit ribosomal RNA", at positions 338 to 795 of the family's 1533-position model. The record is from RNAcentral.
CCUACGGGGGACAGCAGUGAGGAAUAUUGGUCAAUGGACGAGAGUCUGAACCAGCCAAGUAGCGUGAAGGAUGACUGCCCUAUGGGUUGUAAACUUCUUUUAUAAAGGAAUAAAACGAGGCACGUGUGCCUUUUUGCAUGUACUUUAUGAAUAAGGAUCGGCUAACUCCGUGCCAGCAGCCGCGGUAAUACGGAGGAUCCGAGCGUUAUCCGGAUUUAGUGGGUUUAAAGGGAGCGUAGAUGGGUUGUUAAGUCAGUUGUGAAAGUUUGCGGCUCAACCGUAAAAUUGCAAUUGAUACUGGCAGUCUUGAGUACAGUUGAGGUAGGCGGAAUUCGUGGUGUAGCGGUGAAAUGCUUAGAUAUCACGAAGAACCCCGAUUGCGAAGGCAGCUUACUAAACUGUGACUGACAUUGAUGCUCGAAAGUGUGGGUAUCAAACAGGAUUAGAUACCCUGGUAGUC